CCUACGGGUGGCAGCAGUGGGGAAUAUUGGACAGUGGGGGCAACCCUGAUCCAGCCAUGCCGCGUGUGUGAAGAAGGCCCUCGGGUUGUAAAGCACUUUCAGUGAGGAAGAACGCCUGGUGGUUAAUACCCAUCAGGAAAGACAUCACUCACAGAAGAAGCACCGGCUAACUCCGUGCCAGCAGCCGCGGUAAUACGGAGGGUGCGAGCGUUAAUCGGAAUUACUGGGCGUAAAGCGCGCGUAGGUGGCUUGAUAAGCCGGUUGUGAAAGCCCCGGGCUCAACCUGGGAACGGCAUCCGGAACUGUCAAGCUAGAGUGCAGGAGAGGAAGGUAGAAUUCCCGGUGUAGCGGUGAAAUGCGUAGAGAUCGGGAGGAAUAGCAGUGGCGAAGGCGGCCUUCUGGACUGACACUGACACUGAGGUGCGAAAGCGUGGGUAGCAAACAGGAUUAGAUACCCUGGUAGUC
RNAcentral lists this ribosomal RNA (465 nucleotides) under Vreelandella stevensii. Its description in RNAcentral is "partial 16S ribosomal RNA". It matches the Rfam family "Bacterial small subunit ribosomal RNA", at positions 338 to 795 of the family's 1533-position model. The record is from RNAcentral. Lineage: Bacteria; Pseudomonadati; Pseudomonadota; Gammaproteobacteria; Oceanospirillales; Halomonadaceae.